GUCGAGUACAAGUUGCAAUUUUGUACAGGUUAUAACAUGUACAAAAAUAUUGUACAUGUUAUAAUUUGUACAAUGCUAAAAUUUACAGCAUGUAUAAAAUACUAGAUUUUCAUACAUUUUAGAAACAAGUUUUUUUUUAAUUCUUGCUACAAAACAGAGACAUUUGACACUUUGAAUUAUAUAAAACUUUCAUUUUUCUACAUUUACACCUCCCAGUCUAUCAGUACAGCUGCCUUUCUCACAUACACCUUAUCGCUAAUCCUGGCUGACCCGGCCGCUUGAACUUUUGACGCAUACAACAAUCACUUUUCCAUUGUUGCAUCAGAUAUUUUGUUUUGUGCAUUCAAAAAUUUACGGGAACCUGUGUGAUAUCCAGUAUUGGCGGACAAAUAGCGAUAAGGUGUAUUGACGAUGCACAAAAUCUUGCCCUCUACUCAAUGAUAACUUACUCAUUAUCUCAUAUAUUGCUCUCACAAUCAUAUCACUCAUUGACACUUCAAACACAUUUAAAGUUGCAUUUGCAAAAAAAUGAACAUGGUUUCUACUCAAGUAUCCUUUUUUUUGGUCCAACUUUAGUUCCAAGUUUAGAGCCGCCAUGUUCAUUCACAUUCAUCACCACGCCUUCAAUGUUUCUCUCAUCGACAGGGCCCCUAUCAAUGGACGGAAUAGGAAUGACAACUUUAUCAUCUUCGGAGAGAACAGUUAAAAUGUUUUUUUGUCGAAGAAUCAGCUUGUAUCUGCUGGCCAGAAAGGGCCCUCUUUCGUGCAUACUUGAUGUCAAGUUCUAAGACAGUCUCGGUAAAUGGGUCUUCACUAUCUGUAUUAUUGAAUACAGAACUUGCUUCAAAUAUUGCUUUUAAGUCUUCUUCUGUUUGAAUACCAGAUGAGAAUACCGCAUAAUGCUUAUUGACUACAUGUGUAUUUCAAAAGCAUUUUUUUUAGGUAUUAACCCUUACCAUGCGGUGCCCGUCUUUUGACGGGCGGACCCUAAUAACCGUUAUUUGGCUCCAAUGGCGUUCCAUACUUUUAGAAGUCCACUUUAUGAGACUUAUUUUGAAAGUUAUGUGUGUCCCGUCAACCUGAGGCUAUCCAUAUUCACGUUUCUCAUGUAUAAGUAGCAUUUUGAGCACAAAUACGGACUUGGAAAAUUGAAAUUGCCUAAAACUCGGUUUUCUGGAGGGGUAGGCUUCACAUCUGUAUCUUACACAAGAAGUUCAGAGGCAUAAAACUGGCAAAGAUAGUGCAAACUCACGGCCAUAUAACUACUGAUCAUUAUUAUUAUUGAAAUACGCAUAGGAAACAACUACUUCCGGUUUUGGGUCCAUUCGAAGUCCAAAAUCGGUAAAAAUCGUGAAAUUCGGUAUUUUGGGUCCAAAUGACCUUCUGUAGACUGAUGAAUCAAGAUCAGAUUCACUCCGAUCUAACAACUGUUGGGGUCAAUUUGUUCACUAGGGUCCACUCUACACGCAGGCUACAGCUGGAUACCUUAACCAGCAACCCUGGGUCUUCUGGGUCAAGAGAAGGGGUGAAAAAUCGGCAAAAUUGACGCUUUUUGCAUCUAAUGACCCUCUUUGGGGCAAAUUCCCGCCAAAAAAAUUCCGCCUCCUCACCCCGACCACCCCACCCCGUGAUCACCUAUAUUAGAUUUAAAGAAUUCAAUAUGCUACAGCAACAGGGCUAAGCUCAUUUGCAUAUGAUUUGCAUAUUUUUGCAAAUAAACGAAAAUUAGACAUUUUCUAAAAACAAUUCCGCAUGGUAAGGGUUAAGGACCUUGGAAAAAGAAACCAAUUUUUUUCCAGUUUUAGCUCAAACUUUGAUGUUUUUUCUUCUUAUAAUGGGUCAGAACGGGUCAGUAAGGCCUCCAGAUACAAUGAUUAGUUCAAAAACGCUUAAAAAAAUAUAUUUUUUUUUAAAGUUUGUUAACCCUUACCAUGCGGUGCCCGUCUUUUGACGGGCGGACCCUAAUAACCGUUAUUUGGCUCCAAUGGCGUUCCAUACUUUUAGAAGUCCACUUUAUGAGACUUAUUUUGAAAGUUAUGUGUGUCCCGUCAACCUGAGGCUAUCCAUAUUCACGUUUCUCAUGUAUAAGUAGCAUUUUGAGCACAAAUACGGACUUGGAAAAUUGAAAUUGCCUAAAACUCGGUUUUCUGGAGGGGUAGGCUUCACAUCUGUAUCUUACACAAGAAGUUCAGAGGCAUAAAACUGGCAAAGAUAGUGCAAACUCACGGCCAUAUAACUACUGAUCAUUAUUAUUAUUGAAAUACGCAUAGGAAACAACUACUUCCGGUUUUGGGUCCAUUCGAAGUCCAAAAUCGGUAAAAAUCGUGAAAUUCGGUAUUUUGGGUCCAAAUGACCUUCUGUAGACUGAUGAAUCAAGAUCAGAUUCACUCCGAUCUAACAACUGUUGGGGUCAAUUUGUUCACUAGGGUCCACUCUACACGCAGGCUACAGCUGGAUACCUUAACCAGCAACCCUGGGUCUUCUGGGUCAAGAGAAGGGGUGAAAAAUCGGCAAAAUUGACGCUUUUUGCAUCUAAUGACCCUCUUUGGGGCAAAUUCCCGCCAAAAAAAUUCCGCCUCCUCACCCCGACCACCCCACCCCGUGAUCACCUAUAUUAGAUUUAAAGAAUUCAAUAUGCUACAGCAACAGGGCUAAGCUCAUUUGCAUAUGAUUUGCAUAUUUUUGCAAAUAAACGAAAAUUAGACAUUUUCUAAAAACAAUUCCGCAUGGUAAGGGUUAAGUAAUUAUAAAAACUAUUUAUUUGGUCAUUAACUGUGUCAAAAAUGUAUCAAACUAACAGAAAUG
Molecule: long non-coding RNA, 2805 nt
Filed under: Mytilus galloprovincialis (Mediterranean mussel)
Lineage: Eukaryota; Metazoa; Mollusca; Bivalvia; Mytilida; Mytilidae
Source: RNAcentral